Molecule: transfer RNA, 82 nt
Filed under: Dreissena polymorpha
Lineage: Eukaryota; Metazoa; Mollusca; Bivalvia; Myida; Dreissenidae
Description: tRNA-Ser
Rfam family: tRNA
About the family: Transfer RNA (tRNA) molecules are approximately 80 nucleotides in length. Their secondary structure includes four short double-helical elements and three loops (D, anti-codon, and T loops). Further hydrogen bonds mediate the characteristic L-shaped molecular structure. tRNAs have two regions of fundamental functional importance: the anti-codon, which is responsible for specific mRNA codon recognition, and the 3' end, to which the tRNAs corresponding amino acid is attached (by aminoacyl-tRNA synthetases). tRNAs cope with the degeneracy of the genetic code in two manners: having more than one tRNA (with a specific anti-codon) for a particular amino acid; and 'wobble' base-pairing, i.e. permitting non-standard base-pairing at the 3rd anti-codon position.
Source: RNAcentral
GGUGCCGUAGCCUAGUGGUUAAGGCGAUAUACUAGAAAUCUAUUGGGAUAUUCCCGCGCAGGUUCGAAAACUGCCGACGACG